Molecule: ribosomal RNA, 468 nt
Filed under: uncultured bacterium
Lineage: Bacteria
Description: partial 16S ribosomal RNA
Rfam family: Bacterial small subunit ribosomal RNA
Source: RNAcentral
GACGAACGCUGGCGGCGUGCUUAACACAUGCAAGUCGAACGGAAAGGCCCUGCUUUUGUGGGGUGCUCGAGUGGCGAGCGGGUGAGUAACACGUGAGUAACAUGCCCCUGACUUUGGGAUAACUUCAGGAAACUGGGGCUAAUACCGGAUAGGAGCUCCUGCUGCACGGUGGGGGUUGGAAAGUUUCGGCGGUUGGGGCUGGUCUGGAGGCUUAUCAGCUAGUUGGGGGGGUAGUGGCUUACCAAGGCUUUGAAGGGUAGCCCGCCUUGGAGGGUGACCGGCGUCAAUGGGACUGAGAGACGGCCCAGACUCCUACGUUAGGCAGCGGUGGGGAGUAUUGCACAGUGGGCGGAAGCCUGUUGCAGCAACGCCGCGUUCGGGAUGACGUCCUUCGGGUUGUAAACCGCUUUGGCCGGUAACGAAGCGUUAGUGACGGUAAUGGGUAAAGAAGCACCGGCUAACUACGUG